This is a long non-coding RNA of Vicia villosa (hairy vetch), 1937 nucleotides long. RefSeq lists it as uncharacterized. The record is from RefSeq and is a predicted model, not a curated record. Lineage: Eukaryota; Viridiplantae; Streptophyta; Magnoliopsida; Fabales; Fabaceae. The transcript is spliced from 5 exons.
GUUACUGCUAGAUAUCACUUUAUGAUUGGGCUUUAUUUAAAACAAUGUAAAGAAACCAUAAACUUCUCUUUCUCUUAUAAGCCGCCGCUUCUAUUUCACUCCAUCUUGAAACUUUCAUCAUCAACCUGGACAACACUGUCAAAUAUUUUUACAAGCAACUAAUUUUACAAGAAAUAUUUCAUAUUAGUUUUUCUUCUUCUUCUAUAAAUAAAACCCAACUAAAUACUUUCCUUUUAACUCUUUGUUUUUCAUUUUGCCACUAUUUAUUUUAAGAAUUUUUCUGUUAGAAAAACACAGGAAGGUUUGGUUACUGGUCCAACCGGUUGAACCGGCCGACCCGGUUUUCAGUACUAUGUGAUAUAGUGAAUAGUGAUAAAAAAAAUCUAUAAAUAAGACAUUAUGUGUAAUUAUAUUACUUGCAUUUUCUUCUAACUCUUGUUUUGCUCUCUCUGUCUCUCUCAUAUUUUUGCCACCACCACUGAGUAAAUUCUCUCUCUCUCUCUCUCUCUCUCUCGAGAUAUGAUGAAUUCCUACCUUGCGUUGCUGUUUUUGUUCAUUUUAAAAGUAAAUUCCACUUUUGAAGAGGAUAGGAUAAUUGCUCUCCCUGACCAGCCUGUUGUUAAUUUCCAUCAGUAUGGAGGUUACUUAACGGUUGAUGAAAAUCAAGGAAGAAAACUGUUUUAUUACUUCGUUGAGGCGGAAGUCGAUCCGGCUUCCAAACCAGUUGUUCUUUGGAUAAGUAGAGGGGAGAGGAUGAAUUUGUGGGAGGAAAUGAUGAAUAUAAAAUAAGACUAUAUUUACAUCCACUUAUCCAAAGAACAACAGGUUUGGAAGCCGGAUCGACUUCCGCCUCAACAAAGUAAUAAAAUAGUUUCCUCCCGUGAUUUUCAUCAACGGUUAAGUAAUCUCCAUAUUGAUGGAAAUUAACCGCAGGCUGGUCAGAGAGAGCAAUUAUUCUAUCCUCUUCAAAUGAGGAAUUUAUUCUUAAAAUGAAGAAAAACAGCAAAGCAAGGUAGAAAUUCAUCAUAUCGAGAGAGUUUACUCGGUGGUGCUUGCAAAAAUAUGAGAGAGACAGAGAGAGCAAAGCAAGAGUUAGAAAAAAAUGCAAGUAAUAUGAUUACACAUAAUGUCUUAUUUAUAGACUUUUUUUAUCACUAUUCACUAUUUUAGUGGUCGGAGUUAAACGAUGGUCAUCAUGCAAUGAUGUUGUUGCCUAUGACUUUCAGAGCCUUGAGAAACCAACCCUUUCCUUGUUAGGGACACUUGUCAAGUCAGGUGUUAGGGUAUUAGUUUACAGUGGUAAUUUGGAUUCUGUCAUUCCAUCUCUUGGGACAGCUUCCUUAAUAAAACAUUUGGUCGAGGAUUUUGGGUUUAACUCAACAAAGCGUCAUGGACUCUGGUCUGAGGAUGGAUAGGUUGGUGAACCGACUAUGGAGUUUGAAGACAUGCUAACAUUUGCAGGUCUCCUUAGAGUUGGCCAUUUCCUUCCUUUUUCUCAACCAGAGAUAUCAUUGAAGAUGAUUAGGAAUUUUUUAAAAGGAAGGUCUCUUCAUAAUGAGAAGAGAUGUAUGGAGAUAGAGAGAGAAGAUAACUUGUUUGAAUUGUUAAGAGACCUUCCUUUUAGACAAGUAAAGAUUGGGAGAUCAAUUUAGGAGCCUAUGUUUUUGAGAUGUCUAGUGUUUUGAGUGUUGUGUUGAAAUUUGUAUCAGUCAAGACUUUGUAUCAUCCUCCUUGUACCCUCUUGAAUAUAUUAAACUCAAUGUUACAAAAGUCUAAGUAUAAGAUUGGGAGAUCAAUUUAGGAGCCUGUUUUUUUUAGAUGUCUAGUGUUUUGGGUGUUGUGUUGAAAUACUGAAUCAGUCAAGACUUUGUAUUAUUCUCUUUGUACCCUCUUGAAUAUAUUCAAAUCAAUUUCAAAGGAAUCUAAUUAAAUUUGCA